Molecule: long non-coding RNA, 271 nt
Filed under: Sorghum bicolor (sorghum)
Lineage: Eukaryota; Viridiplantae; Streptophyta; Magnoliopsida; Poales; Poaceae
Description: long non-coding RNA (SBIC_LNC014163)
Source: RNAcentral
GCAUAAGUUUGCCGUUCACCAGUAUGUAAUUCUUUGAUCGUCGAAUGAGGCGCUCGUUCUCUGUUUUAUCCUGAAAGCCUGACCCGUCCGAUAUAUAUCUGAUGAACGGGGUGCGCCAGUCACAGUUACUGGUUGUCGGAGUAACGACGUCUAAGAUCAUUGCCUCGGUAGGUUGCUUUUCGACCAGGCCUGAGCCCACACUUGGCUCAUGGAUGUCCUGGACGAAAACACCUCGCGGGAUCUGGGCCCGAGAUGACCCUAACUUUGACAA